CCUAGUGGCAGACGGCUGAGUAACGCGUGAGUGACCUGCCCUUGAGAGGGGGAUAACACCGGGAAACCGGUGCUAAUACCCCGUACGCUCUCCGGUGUAAAGGCCGGAGAGGAAAUGAAUUUCGCUCGAGGAGGGGCUCGCGUCCUAUCAGGUAGUUGGUGAGGUAACGGCUCACCAAGCCGAAGACGGGUACCUGGUGUGAGAGCACGACCAGGCAGAGGGGGACUGAGACACGGCCCCCACUCCUACGGGAGGCAGCAGCAGGGAAUCUUCCACAAUGGGCGAAAGCCUGAUGGAGCGACGCCGCGUGGGGGAUGAAGGUUUUCGGAUCGUAAACCCCUUUUCUCAGGGAAGAGUAAGGACGGUACCUGAGGAAUAAGCAUCGGCUAACUACGUGCCAGCAGCCGCGGUAAUACGUAGGAUGCUAGCGUUGUCCGGAAUCACUGGGCGUAAAGGGUCCGUAGGCGGUUUGUUAAGUCUCUUGUGAAAACUUCGGGCUCAACCCGGAGAGGUCGGGGGAUACUGGCAAACUCGAGACUGUCAGAGGCAGGUGGAAUUCCCGGUGUAGUGGUGAAAUGCGUAGAUAUCGGGAGGAACACCAGUGGCGAAAGCGGCCUGCUGGGACAGUUCUGACGCUGAGGGACGAAAGCGUGGGUAGCAAACCGGAUUAGAUACCCGGGUAGUCCACGCCCUAAACGUUGGAUGCUAGGUUUGCGGGGUAUCGACCCCCUGUGAGCCGUAGGUAACCCGUUAAGCAUCCCGCCUGGGGACUACGACCGCAAGGUUAAAACUCAAAGGAAUUGACGGGGGCCCGCACAAGCAGCGGGAGCGUGUGGUUUAAUUCGAUGCUAAGCGAAGAACCUUACCAGGGCUUGACAUGUAAAGUGGUACUGAGUCGAAAGACAAGGGACCCGCAAGGGAGCUUACACAGGUGCUUGCAUGGGUUGUCGUCAGCUCGU
RNAcentral lists this ribosomal RNA (959 nucleotides) under uncultured bacterium. RNAcentral describes it as "bacterial SSU rRNA". It matches the Rfam family "Bacterial small subunit ribosomal RNA", at positions 91 to 1063 of the family's 1533-position model. The record is from RNAcentral.